AACGAACGCUGGCGGCAGGCCUAACACAUGCAAGUCGAACGCCGUAGCAAUACGGAGUGGCAGACGGGUGAGUAACGCGUGGGAACAUACCCCUCGGUUCGGAAUAACUCAGGGAAACUUGAGCUAAUACCGGAUACGUCCGAGGUUUUAAUCGACCUUGGAGAAAGAUUUAUCGCCGGAGGAUUGGCCCGCGUCUGAUUAGCUUGUUGGUGAGGUAAUGGCUCACCAAGGCGACGANCAGUAGCUGGUCUGAGAGGAUGAUCAGCCACAUUGGGACUGAGACACGGCCCAAACUCCUACGGGAGGCAGCAGUGGGGAAUAUUGGACAAUGGGCGAAAGCCUGAUCCAGCCAUGCCGCGUGAGUGAUGAAGGCCUUAGGGUUAGUAAAGCUCUUUACCCGGGAAGAUAAUGACGGUACCGGGAGAAUAACGCCCCGGCUAAC
Molecule: ribosomal RNA, 442 nt
Filed under: uncultured bacterium
Lineage: Bacteria
Description: bacterial SSU rRNA
Rfam family: Bacterial small subunit ribosomal RNA
Source: RNAcentral